Molecule: long non-coding RNA, 963 nt
Organism: Bubalus bubalis (water buffalo)
Lineage: Eukaryota; Metazoa; Chordata; Mammalia; Artiodactyla; Bovidae
Exons: 3
Source: RefSeq, a predicted model, not a curated record
CUGAGAGACUGAACGGAACUGAAUUCACUCUGCAUAAUAGGCUCUGGGUUCAUCCAUCUUAUUAGAACUGACUCAGAUGUGUUCCUUUUUAUUUCUGAGUAAUAUUUCCAUCGUAAGAAACGGUUUUCGAAAAGGACUGGCUGUGACUACCCCUGGCCCUCGCCCCCAGCUCAGCCCAGAUGAAGCAGAUUGGAAAGCCUAUCUCUACCUUUCUCUGAAAGAGGCCUCUUCAUACAUCACAAGCUGCUGCCUGAGGGUCAGAUUCCUAAUGCAGCACAUCUGUGGGGGCUGACUGAGUUCCUCCCCUGAGACUGAGGAGGCCAGUGGGUGAGAACUAUCUCCGAACUCUCUCUCCAGCCUGCUCCAGGACGCCGGUGUCUCCACUGUAUUUGCUGGAAUAUUUCCACAGAGAUGUCAAACUGCCCUUCAGAAAGGACAUGAGAUGAAACUAUCAGUGACAUUAUUUCUCCUCUCAAAAAUUUUCCUGAAAAAAGAAAUCUGAGAACCCUCAGGAGGCUCAUUGAUGUUCAUGAUCAGAUUUCAUGAGGUUCAGAGGAAUUAGGAAAUGGAUCACUGUGAAGGAUGUCUUUACACGUGCAAAAAUCCACUGGAAACAUGAGUGAGUUAUCUUUGGUUGCUUCUUCCAAACUUCAUGCUUCCACACAAGUCCUAAAGGAGCAGAGGUCAGAUGACUCAAUUAUUAUUAUUUUUUUUGAUGACUUGUGUAUUCUGCUUUAGGAAACUAAAAUAGAAUGGCCUAAACUGAGGGUGAUAUCAGGAACAGUAGCCCAAGAAUCAUGAUCUUGUUUUUCAUGUCCCAUUCUCCUUCUACACAUUUCUGAAUAACUAACACUUACUCCUUGGAAGGAAAGUUUUGACCAACCUAGAUAGCAUAUUAAAAAGCAGAGACAUUACUUUGCCAACAAAGGUUCGUCUAGUUGAAUCUGUGGUUUUUCCAGUAGU